CCUACGGGAGGCAGCAGUCGGGAAUUUUGGGCAAUGGGCGAAAGCCUGACCCAGCAACGCCGCGUGAAGGAUGAAAUCCCUCGGGAUGUAAACUUCGCAAGAACGGGAAGAAUAAGUAGGGGACAAUACCCCCUAUGAUGACGGUACCGUUUGUAAGCUCCGGCUAACUCCGUGCCAGCAGCCGCGGUAAUACGGGGGGAGCAAGCGUUGUUCGGAUUUACUGGGCGUAAAGGGCGCGUAGGCGGCCAGCACAAGUCAGUUGUGAAAUCUCCGAGCUUAACUCGGAAAGGUCAACUGAUACUGUGCGGCUAGAGUGCAGAAGGGGCAACUGGAAUUCUCGGUGUAGCGGUGAAAUGCGUAGAUAUCGAGAGGAACACCUGCGGCGAAGGCGGGUUGCUGGGCUGACACUGACGCUGAGGCGCGAAAGCUAGGGGAGCGAACGGGAUUAGAUACCCCGGUAGUCCUAGCCUUAAACGAUGAAUGCUUGGUGUCUGGGGUUAUAUAGUCCCCGGGUGCCGUCGCUAACGCUUUAAGCAUUCCGCCUGGGGAGUACGGUCGCAAGACUGAAACUCAAAGGAAUUGACGG
This 586-nucleotide ribosomal RNA is filed under the name uncultured bacterium. RNAcentral describes it as "bacterial SSU rRNA". It matches the Rfam family "Bacterial small subunit ribosomal RNA", at positions 338 to 916 of the family's 1533-position model. The record is from RNAcentral.